GGUAGUCCACGCCCUAAACGUUGCGAACUAGGUGUUGGUCGGAUUGACCCGAUCAGUGCCGCAGCUAACGCAUUAAGUUCGCCGCCUGGGGACUACGGCCGCAAGGUUAAAACUCAAAGGAAUAGGCGGGGGCCCGCACAAGCAGCGGAGCGUGUGGUUUAAUUCGAGGCAACGCGAAGAACCUUACCUGGGCUUGACAUGCACAGGAAACGUCGGUGAAAGCCGGCGCCUCCCGCAAGGGAUCUGUGCACAGGUGGUGCAUGGCUGUCGUCAGCUCGUGCCGUGAGGUGUUGGGUUAAG
This 300-nucleotide ribosomal RNA is filed under the name uncultured bacterium. Its description in RNAcentral is "bacterial SSU rRNA". It matches the Rfam family "Bacterial small subunit ribosomal RNA", at positions 789 to 1084 of the family's 1533-position model. The record is from RNAcentral.